GCCUGGGUGGCUCAGUCGGUUAAGCGUCCGACUUUGGCUCAGGUCAUGAUCUCGCGGUUCGUGGGUUCGAGCCCCAUGUCAGGCU
Molecule: transfer RNA, 85 nt
Filed under: Felis catus (domestic cat)
Lineage: Eukaryota; Metazoa; Chordata; Mammalia; Carnivora; Felidae
Also listed under: 2 other names
Rfam family: tRNA
About the family: Transfer RNA (tRNA) molecules are approximately 80 nucleotides in length. Their secondary structure includes four short double-helical elements and three loops (D, anti-codon, and T loops).
Source: Rfam by way of RNAcentral